This is a long non-coding RNA of Esox lucius (northern pike), 5621 nucleotides long. The record is from Ensembl. NCBI's taxonomy places the organism in Eukaryota, Metazoa, Chordata, Actinopteri, Esociformes, Esocidae.
CUCCUGAUAUCAUUUUAAGGAAUAACAGUCAUUUAAAAAAUUCCAACUAAGCUGAGGACAGCCCGACAUCUAGUGGACAAAGAAAUUACUGCUUCUAGAAUGCAAUAAUGAAAACACAAUAAUUGUAUUUUUGCAUGGUUUAUACCUUUGCCGCUUCCACUCCACUCCAAAACACAGCACUAAAACACCCAAGGCCCAGUGACCUCUUCUGUGCAGCUGAGUCAAGGUAAAUAUCCAUUCAUAUACUUCUUGACCUGAGUGUCCCCUUUGACACCAUCUUUAAUGCACUGCUCAUGAGGUGUUUAGCUGGCUCUUGUGUCAUGGGUGUUCCUACCUCACGGCUUGGGCAACAAAAAAAAGAAUCACAGUUCAGGAUAUGGGGUUGUUUCACAGGGUUUCCCCAGUCCUGGCUCUUCCCUUCAUCAUAUACUACCUACCCAUGGCCCAGCUUCCCAUAUGUAAUCUUAGGAAACAUUUACAGAUAAAAACAUAGAAAUUAGCCAAAUGGAUACAAAGUGUGUUCUGUUGCUCUGUGUUCGUAUGUGUGUUUGUGUCUUGUUUCUCAGUGUGGUGGUUGCAGGCUUCCUGAUCGCUGGUUGCAGUUGAUUGAUUUGAUUUGGGGCUGGAGAGCUGACUUCCACCAGCUCGUCAGUCGUUGCAGCUGUUUCAGCCUGCAUAUGAGCCACAGAGUUCUGGUAUCUCUCUGACUCACUCCUGCUGCAGCUUUUUCUAUGCAGUUUGUGGUACUGUCUGUGAGUCAGAAGAACAUGUGUGGUAUAGUGCUGUUGUGACUAUUGUUUGUGUUAAAACCUUUUUCAUUUGUUUCAAGGGGAAAGCCAUUGUGCUUUAGGCAAGAGGCCCUGGGGCAUACACCUCCCAUAGCUUUACUGUCUAAAAACACUAGGUAAGACCUGGGCGGACCACCCCCUGUACUUUGGUUAGACUCAGUCAUUUAUACAAUUUAUUUUAAAGAAAAAACUAUUCAAAAACAAUUUAUAAUUUCUAUUUUCUUCCAUGUUUUGUUACAUUUACUGAAAUGUAAGACUAUGCAACUAACAACAGAUUUAUAUCAGACAGAAUAACAGUGUUGAACUACACUAAACAUGCAUUCAAUAAGCAUGUGGGGGAGUUGUUUUUAUGUAACAUCCAACAGAAAUAUUCAGACUACAAGCAUACACAAUUCUAAAUGUUUUGGAACUACAAAUGUUUCCAGACCUCCAUGGGGGCAUGAUGAAAUGUUUAGAUAUGUCCUUGUGAAACAAAAACAGGAGGGGGGGGGGGGGGCGGGACGGGGGGGGACCAUCUUGUUGUCCUUGUGAGAAUAAAACCAAACAGGAAAGAAUGGUGGUUGGAAACAACAACACAAUAUUCCUAACACUAAAUAUUUACAACAUUGCCUUCAAGCUCCCAUUUCCCCUUUCUGUUUCCUGUGAAUCCAACAGGCAGGAUUCAGAAAAGCAAAAGGAAAACCGGUUCCAAUAUUCUUUGGUCAGCAUCUGAAUUGUUUGUUUUCACUAUCACAGUUUGCCAAUGGGGCACAAAUUCAAUGGCAACAUAUUUUCUCAAAGACAUUUUCAACAUACUCGGUACAAAAACCUCUGCGGUGACCCAUUAACAAUGGAGUUGAAACAUUCUUGAUUUAUUUUCUUCCCUUAGCAAUAUUAAAAAGAAAGGUGAAUGGUAAACAGCACCUCGGAUCAGAAGUGACAGUGGUAGGAGAGAGCAACAUAAAACACAUUACAUUACCAGAAACCCCUUUACAUUUUAGAGAGGAUUUUUUCCUGAAAAAGGAUUAGACGGGCUUAGUUUUGCAUAUUACUUAACUUCUGGGGUUCAAGAAAAGGAAACUAGGUAAAACAACCUUUAGAAGUUAACCCUGGCUUAUAAAGUACUCACCAGUUCUCUGUUCUUGUUCUACAAUCUUUUUUUGUAGAUGAAGUGAUGUGAGAUUUGUAGAAAUGUCUAGCAUAAGUGGUUGUAAACCGUCUUUUCAUACAAAAUACAAUGAUGUAUCCUAAAUCUGUCACCGGAGUGAAAUGCAGGACAUUUUUCAGUUGCAAGUACCAAACAGAAAGACAUCACUUACGAUGCAUUUGUGUAGAAGCUGCUGCUUACAUAUACUGUAGAUUGUAUCCCCGUAAUCCAACACAGAAACAGAUUACCUGUCUUGCACUGUUUCAUCUACUAUGAAACACAUACCUGUACAUGAUCUAUUUAAUAAAAAUGAAAAAACAAAUCCAGUAUUUUUAAUGAUGUCGAUGAAAAUUCUGCUAACAGUAAUUUGGUAUAAUUUAAAAUACUAACAGUGAUAGCCAAAUAACAAGAUUUAAGUGGAAACUCGUUCAAUUUCUGAAUCGUGAUCAGUACAAUGGAACAAGAGGUCAAUGAGUUACACUAAAUGAGGUGAUUAUCACCUGAUACACAUUGAUCACCAUAUCAGGUGAUACUUACACAAUUCAUUCCAGUCAGUGGCAGUAAGGUUACGUAGCCCCUUGAGUCAGGCUUGAUAGCUCAAAAUCAAAAUUUGCUUUCAUGUCUUUAGAGUAUAACCUCAGAUAUAUAUACUACCAGCCAAAAGUUUUAGAACACAGGUGAAAGGAAUAUACUGAAACAAGAACAGGAAGGACCAAGGACAAGACAAGUCAAGGACAAACAGUUGGAGAGGGCUGGGGGAGGCGGAGCUGUCCUCGGCGGGCCCAGGCGGCGACCAGUCCCCGGCAGGUUCUGGCGGCGACGAAAACAGGGCAGCAGGGGGAGCUGACGGCAGCGACCACUGGGCAGCAGGAGGUGCUGGCGGCGGUGACCACUGCUGCCCAGGAGCCGCAGCUAGCGUCCCCUGCUGCCCAGGAGCCACAGCCAGUGCCCCCUGCUGCCCAGGAGCUGCAGCCAGCGCCCCCUGCUGCCCAGGAGCCGCAGCCAGUGCCCCCUACUGCACAGGCGCCGCAGCCAGUUCCCAGAGUUUAGUACAUACCUUUGUUUGAAUAAACUUCGUACUAAUGCAUCCUAAUCCUUGAGUCCAGUCGUCUAUUGUGACAUAUUUUUUAGGGAACAAGUAAUGGGUUAACUAGAAGUUGAUGCUAAGCAUUUCUACAGGUGACUCAACAUUUGCUGAUUAGUUAUAAACCCUCUCUCUGUUUAAAAGCUGUGUUGGAACAUACUGUGUUAUUGCACCAUCUUAAGCAAUAUUUGGACAGUAUUGUACUGCAGAAAGUAGCACACUGCAAUCAUAAUGGCAAAAAAAGGGCAAUCAACAAAGGAAGUGAGACAGACCAUGAUAACCCUCAAGUGUAGGUCUUUCCUUUAGAGAAAUUGCAAAGUAAACCAAGGUGUGAGUUAAUCAAGUUUCCUACAAAAUCAAAAGGUACUUGGAAACUGGAGGAAAGCUGGCAGAAUCAAGCCACAAAAGAAACAUCCAGCUUGAUAGGCGGUUCACAGGACUACAGCUUCAAGCACAGCUUAACACUUGUCAAAGUAAGCAAGUCUCAGUUUCAACUGUGAAGAGAAGACUUAGAGCAGCAGGUUUGACAGGUUGAGUGGCAGUAAGAAAGCCAUUGCUAAGAUAGUAAAAUAAGAAAAAUAGGAUUGUCUGGGCCAUGAAGCACAGCCAGUCGACUAUAAACCGACCGUUGGUUUAUCACACAAGAUUUUUGUUCACCGCAGAGUAGGCAAAAGGAUGGUCCCUCAGUGUGUUACACCAACUGCCAAACAUGGAGAAGGAAGCAUGAUGGUCUGAAGCUCUUUUGCUGGAUCCAGAGUUGGUGGCUUGCACAGAGCGAAUGUACCAUGAACCAAAUGGCUACCAUGCAAUACCCUUUGGUGCACACAUAGUUAGCAAGAUAAUGACCUCUAGGCUAUGUUAGAUGGUAGGCUUCAUAUCAUGGAAUUACAAGCCCAGUCGCCAGAUUUUUUAUCCACCGAGCUGGUUUGGGAUGAACUGGGCAGAAGGGUGAAAGCAAAGCAACCUAUAAAUGCAACAUAAUUGUGGGAUCUUGUCGGGACAUAUUGGAAUAGGGGAUUAAGCUACAGGUAUCACAUAGCAGCUUGUUUAGUAUACAAAGGAGUGAGCCUAAAAAUAUUUUGCAACUCAUUCCAGUUAUUGGCAGCAGCAAUCUGAUAUGAGUGUUUACUUAAGGAGGCAUAGACUUUAGGAGUGACCAGAGUGAGAUAUCUUCUGUAGUUUUGGCUAGUAUUGGAGAAAUGUUGAGACGUGAACAAAGGCAGAGGGCAUUUACCAGCAAGUGACCAAAUAAGAUGGUACCAAUGAGUUUGGUACCUCAAUCACACCAACAGCACCCGUUGCUGUUAUUUCCACCCAACUUUUUCUGUAUAUAACUUCCUGCAUUAAGUUGGAAAAACCCAACACAUGCACCACACAGAACACUCUGCAGAUGCCUCUGCAAUGCAUUGUUCCCAGGCAAAUGGAGCGUUCAUGUCACAGUGAUGUGUAUUGAAAGGAGCUGAAGUCACAAAGUGAAUGGAAUCUUGGUAUAAGACACCUAGCCUUUUAAUGGCAAGACUGUGUCGCUGUAGCUGAGGAUGUCAACAGUGAAGACACAAUUUUUCAGAAAAAGAAUAGACUGACAAGUUUCAGGAGAAAGUUCUUUGUUUCUGAACAUUUUGAGCCUAUAAUCAAACCCACAAACACUGUAGCUGAAGAUGCUGAACUAUGAUUAUUGCUUCUUUUUUGCUUCUUUAUUGCUUCUUUUAUUGUUUCUUUUUUUUGUGCAGUGCCAACAUAAUCGCAAAAGGGUUUUCUAAUGAUCAGUUAGCCUUUUAAAAUAAUAAACUUGGAUUAACAAAUACAAUGUGCCAUUUGAACACAGGACUGAUGGUUGCUUAUAAUGGACCUCUGUACACCUACGUAGAUAUUUCAUUAAGAAAUCAUCUGUUUCCAGCUACCAAGUCAUAGGUGAACUCUAUUAGCCAGUGAUUCCUUAGUUGCAACAUUUUUUAUCAAGAAUGUAUAAAGGGCUUAGAAAAAUACAUUUAAUUGAAAUUGGAGUGCAUGCAAUUAAUAGGUUUGGCCUUCAAUAGAUUACCUGAAAAACAUUCAUGAGGAAUGCAACGUACUAUGUGGCAUUUCAAACCGUACAGAUGCUACAGUUCCCUAUGAGGGGCGUGUAAGACAUUAUUUAUUCUGAUACUCUCACAUACAUACAUUCUCCUUUCACAUACAUAUAUUUUCACUCUCAUAUACAUACAUUCUUUUUUCACAUACAUAUAUUUUCACUCUCAUAUACAUACAUUCUCCUUUCACAUACAUAUAUUUUCACUCUCACAUACAUACAUUCUUUUUUCACAUACAUAUAUUUUCACUCUCAUAUACAUACAUUCUCCUUUCACAUACAUAUAUUUUCACUCUCACAUACAUACAUUCUUUUUUCACAUACAUAUAUUUUCACUCUCAUAUACAUACAUUCUCCUUUCACAUACAUAUAUUUUCACUCUCACAUACAUACAUUCUCCUUUCACAAACAUAUAUUUUCACUCUCACAUACAUACAUUCUCCUUUCACAUGCAUAUAUUUUCACUCUCACACAUACAUACAUUCUCCUUUCACAUACAUACAUUUUCACCCUCACAUAUGUACAUUCUCCUUUCACAUACAUAUAUUUUCACUC